GAAGGGUCUCGCUCAUUUCCUGACUUCCUGUAGACCCACAGGUUGGUGGGCGUACAAGAAGCGAAGCAAUGGUGCCCUGUUACUGCGGGGAGUUGAAGAAAGUGAGUUUCACGUGGUUUACAUGGAUCUGUGGAGCUGGAGAGACUUUUCGGGUUCUCCACAAGACCCACUUUCACUAGCUGUAUCCGUCGCUCGUUUCCAAAACUAUAAUCUCAAUUUCCACAUGUGCCACGCAUUGUUACAGGAACUGUUCAACUCACCCUUCUUAUCACACAGUGAUGACUCAAACACAAAACCACAGCUGAAAAAGGCCCCCCAUAACUCACAAUAAACUGGAAAUGUUGACGUGGUUUCUGGUGUUUUUGGUAAAGUGUUCCUGUUGUGUGCAAUUGUCAAAAACGAAGAUGGAAAAUAUUAGCUCUGUGUGUGAUGUACUUUCCUUAACCCAGUAUUGGUUACUUACACCUAUUUAUGUUGAUGAUGUCCACGUUUAGACAUGACAGGAAGAAAUAAUUCUUUACAAAUGAAAGUAUCUGAAAAAUUACAGUAAAAUGAAAAAAGAGUAAAGGAUGUUUCCGGUGAGAGCGAGUGGGUGUCAUCUGUAGAUCAAUUUCCUGUAAGUCUUCUGCUUUCACUUCAACAUGUCGAGAAGACACAAAAAAGCUAAAUAGUGAGAAUAAAUACUAUGCCUUAUCUACUUGCUUUGCUCUUCUUCCUGCUGGAGAUAUGUAAUUUAGGACUUGGUUUGCCGACAGCUACCAUCCAUGGCCUUGUUAACGGAUCUGUGCUUUUGCCCUCUCUAUCUCACUACCCCAACCCAUCGGAAAUCCAGUGGAUGUAUAAUGGCAUGCUGGUAGUGUGGUAUGACAACGGCACAGUGCAACCACUUGUGAAAUCCAGAUUUGACAACAGAUUCAACCUGUUUCAAGGGAACGGCUCUCUGCAGAUCCAUGGGCUCCAAAUUCAAGACUCAGGCAUCUUUGCUGUAAAUAUAUUGAGAGAUUUAAACCAAACCUAUACAGAGGUACAUCUCUUAGUGCAUGAAAAGAUCAACACGCAUCUGGAGCUGCUGUCCAACGUGUCCGGGGAUGGCCACUGUGCUGUGGUGGUGAACUGUAGUACAAUUCUGAACCAUUGGAAGGUGGCAAAGUGCAACAGAACUGCAUGUCGGGAGACCGACAGCGGGGGGAUGGACAAGGAGUCCAGCAGCGUUCACAUUGACAUCUCAGCUGACAAACUCAUCUCCUGUAAGAGCAGCAACCCAGUCACCUCUGGCAGCAUCUCUCUCAUAGAUCUAUGCCCUGAUGAUCACAGCACAGAUUUGGACAAAGUUCAUAAUCAUCAUCGUUCUCGACUUGCUACCUACAGCAUUGCAGGGUGUUUUGCUGUGGUGCUUUUUUCGUUAGUUUUAAAUUCAAGUUCAAGGUUCAACGUCAGUUGUAAAUAGCCCUGGUGGUCCUUAGAUUGAUAGUGCACAAGAGCAGGUAGAACUGUGGUUUACCUAUAUAUUUUGGUACACAUUUAAAUAUUAUUAAUUAUCUUAAGUAAAUUGAGUCUGUAUCUAUAUUAUUUCUUUUUUUUACAUACUUGUUGGUGUCAUAUUGUAUUUUCUGUCCUUUUGUAUUUAUUUUGGGAAAUAUUGUGGCAGUCCAGGCAUCAAUACUGUCUUGUCUAGCUGGACCUCAAUGGGUGGUUGUUGUCUCAUAGCGCCUAGACAGUAUGAGUGCAUGUUAAUGUUUACAUGUUAGUGAAAACAUAUUUCUCACACUGCUUCCACUCCAGGGGGUGCGUUGGCACACUGGGUUUGGCCAGCACCUGCUUUCUGGUGGAUCUGGAGUUCAAGUCCUGCUUGGGGUGCUUUGUGAUGGACUGGCGUCCCGUCCUGAGUGUGUCCCCUCCGCCUCCAGCCUUAUGCUUUGUGUUGCCGGGUUAGGCUCCGGUUCGCUGUGACCUCUGCUUGGGAAGAGUGGUUUCAGCCAGUGUGUGUGUGUGUUUCCACUCCUCCCAUAGUUCAGCAAUGUGUGUUUCAGGUGAACUGGGAACAUUAAAUUGUGUAUGUGUGUGUGUUAUAUUGCUCUGGUGUGCAGAUGAGUGAUGUAGUGUAUCAGGAAUUGUACCUUGAAUGAAAAGCUGUUAUUCACUCUAAGUUGCUUUGGAAUAAAGCAAAUAAAGCAAGGUAACA
Molecule: long non-coding RNA, 2182 nt
Organism: Scleropages formosus (Asian bonytongue)
Lineage: Eukaryota; Metazoa; Chordata; Actinopteri; Osteoglossiformes; Osteoglossidae
Source: Ensembl